Molecule: ribosomal RNA, 670 nt
Filed under: Tarenaya torticarpa
Lineage: Eukaryota; Viridiplantae; Streptophyta; Magnoliopsida; Brassicales; Cleomaceae
Description: eukaryotic LSU rRNA
Rfam family: 5.8S ribosomal RNA (bases 268-423)
Source: RNAcentral
UCGAACCUAAAUCCGAAAAGGAACAACUUGUGAACACGUAAUUACACAUGCGGUGCGUGGGGACUUUAACCGGUCCUAACGCUCGCCUAGUCCGUAGGUCACAUGUGCAGACAAACGGGUACAUACUUGUUUGAAUGUACAUGGUCCUGUCGNAAUUCACAAACCCSGGCGCGGAAAGCGUCAAGACCAAUUAMCGAAACAGCUCACCCCGAAUGCAACCUAUUAGGUUCGUUUUUGUGUGUGUCGCUGCGAUCAUAAGUCUGAAAUGACUCUCGGCAACGGAUAUCUCGGCUCUCGCAUCGAUGAAGAACGUAGCGAAAUGCGAUACUUGGUGUGAAUUGCAGAAUCCCGUGAACCAUCGAGUUUUUGAACGCAAGUUGCGCCCUAAGCCGUUAGGCCGAGGGCACGCUUGCCUGGGUGUCACGCAUCGUCAUCUCCCCCACGCGGCUAAGCUUUUGCUUGGGUGAUUAAGGAGAAGGAGAUUGGUCUCCCGUGUGAUACUGCACGCGGUUGGCCUAAAAUCUAGGCAAGGGGGCGUGAAGCUUACCUGACGAGCGGUGGUGUGUAGAUGCCUCGUCAGGUCCGGGUUGCCUUUUCGUCCCAACGGAGUCUAAGACCCUUUAAGUGUCGCUUGCGCGACUCUUCGAACGCGACCCCAGGUCAAGUGGGA